UGUCACUUUACACCUUCCGUCACGGUAGGACAAAUGGAUGUCCGACGUGCCAUGCCACGUGGACAAAAAUGACAUGUGGCACGUGGUAUUUUUGACAUGUGGCGUGCCAUGUUUCCUUGUUGUACACGUGGCAUGCCAUGUGGUAUUUCUUUGGUACACGUGGCAUGCCACAUCGGAUGCCUGUUUCUCCUAUCAUGACAGAGGGUGCAAAGUGGUA
Molecule: microRNA precursor, 217 nt
Filed under: Corchorus capsularis
Lineage: Eukaryota; Viridiplantae; Streptophyta; Magnoliopsida; Malvales; Malvaceae
Description: pre miRNA MIR811
Source: RNAcentral